Molecule: long non-coding RNA, 730 nt
Organism: Anopheles arabiensis
Lineage: Eukaryota; Metazoa; Arthropoda; Insecta; Diptera; Culicidae
Exons: 2
Source: RefSeq, a predicted model, not a curated record
UUGUGUGGUAGGUUCGUUGCGCACUUUGCUUACCAGAACCGUGUGUGGUAAGUCAAUGCGCGGAAUGCAGAGAAAGAGUGCAGAACGAAGCGGGGAUUGAGACGAGAACGUACCGUAGCUCACGCAUCAAUUUGGCCUACUUUAGCGACCCUCAAGGCCUGGUGGGCAACCAACCUAAUUUACAUUCUGCUGGAUUCCUGGCGACACAGCUAUUCAGGGAAACAAAAUAGCAGAGCAACUAGCCAACACAGGACGUAAUACCCCGGCCUGCUGCCAUAACACUCUUCCACGCCGUGAUUUCAUUCGCCUUAGCAAAACCAUCAUCAUCAAUAGUUGGAAUGGUUAUUGGGUUAGCAGCGGCCGCUAUUUCCUGAGAACCAUCAAGACCACAACACAACCAUGGAGAGACCACCCAUCACACCAAGACCAGAGAAUCCUAUCACGACUUCGUAUUGGACACACCCAGCUCUCCCACACCUUUUUAUUUCAAAAUUCCAUCCCAUCACUAUGUAGUUUCUAUGGCGUCGACUCCUGUGGCUUGGAAAACCCUGUAUCCAGCUAACUGCGCUACAGAUAUGGUGCAGAGUGGGAUGCAACACGGAUUGUUCGUGCCGAUUACUCUCGGACGUGGAUAAGAUAGGCAUCUUAUUUUAUUUUUCAUUGAAACCGGAGACAGUCUUUUUUUAGCGUCUAAAUAAAAGUAAAAACGAAGACUGCUAAAAUAACUUUA